ACAUGCAAGUCGAACGAAAAGAGGGAAAGAGCUUGCUCUUUCCGGAAUUGAGUGGCAAACGGGUGAGUAACACGUAAACAACCUGCCUUCAGGAUGGGGACAACAGACGGAAACGACUGCUAAUACCGAAUAAGUUCCAAGAGCCGCAUGGCCCAUGGAAGAAAAGGUGGCCUCUACCUGUAAGCUAUCGCCUGAAGAGGGGUUUGCGUCUGAUUAGCUGGUUGGAGGGGUAACGGCCCACCAAGGCGACGAUCAGUAGCCGGUCUGAGAGGAUGAACGGCCACACUGGAACUGAGACACGGUCCAGACUCCUACGGGAGGCAGCAGUGGGGAAUCUUCCGCAAUGGGCGAAAGCCUGACGGAGCAACGCCGCGUGAGUGAUGACGGCCUUCGGGUUGUAAAACUCUGUGAUCCGGGACGAAAAGGCAGAGUGCGAAGAACAAACUGCAUUGACGGUACCGGAAAAGCAAGCCACGGCUAACUACGUG
Molecule: ribosomal RNA, 488 nt
Filed under: uncultured bacterium
Lineage: Bacteria
Description: bacterial SSU rRNA
Rfam family: Bacterial small subunit ribosomal RNA
Source: RNAcentral